GUCUAUGGCCGUACCACCCUGGCAGCCUGAUCUCAGAAGCUAAGCAGGGUUGGGCCUGGGUUAGUACUUGAAUGGGAGACUCUCUGGGGAGUACCGGGUGCUGUAGGUG
This 109-nucleotide ribosomal RNA is filed under the name Microcebus murinus (gray mouse lemur). The record is from RNAcentral. Lineage: Eukaryota; Metazoa; Chordata; Mammalia; Primates; Cheirogaleidae.